RNAcentral lists this ribosomal RNA (497 nucleotides) under uncultured bacterium. RNAcentral's name for it is "partial 16S ribosomal RNA". It matches the Rfam family "Bacterial small subunit ribosomal RNA", at positions 28 to 507 of the family's 1533-position model. The record is from RNAcentral.
GACGAACGCUGGCGGCGUGCCUAAUACAUGCAAGUUGAGCGAUGAAGAUUGGUGCUUGCACCAAUUUGAAGAGCAGCGUACGGGUGAGUAACGCGUGGGUAAUCUGCCUUUGAGCGGGGGACAACAUUUGGAAACGAAUGCUAAUACCGCAUAACAACUUUAAACAUAAGUUUUAAGUUUGAAAGAUGCAAUUGCAUCACUCAAAGAUGAUCCCGCGUUGUAUUAGGUAGUUGGUGAGGUAAAGGCUCACCAAGGCGGUGAUACAUAGCCGACCUGAGAGGGUGGUCGGCCACAUUGGGACUGAGACCCGGCCCAAACUCCUACGGGAAGCAGCAGUAGGGAAUCUUCGGCAAUGGGCGGAAGUCUGACCGAGCAACGCCGCGGGAGGGAAGAAGGUUUUCGGGUCGGAAAACUCUGUUGGUAGGGAAGAACGUUGGUGAGAGUGGAAAGCUCAUCAAGUGACGGUAACUACCCAGAAAGGAACGGCUAACUACGUG